AUGCCACUCUGGAAAGGUGGAUGGCCGCUGUUACUGGGAACAAGGAUAACCCUCACGGAGCCAGAAGGAUUCCUCCACUCGACUGCCACAGUGAUCCAAACAAGGUAUGUCUGCUCCACUUCCCAUUGUAUUCUCGUCACAUUUAUUUCUGUUUUCUCUGCCGAUCGGUCGACUGAUCUUUGUCUUGAUGUCUAUCAGGCCCUCACUGAGUUGUACUCGAUGCCCAACGGAGCACAGGCUCCGACUGAGGAGGGAGAAGCGAGCGGGGGCGAGAGCCAGGAGGAGGAGUGGGACUCGGACGCCGCUGAGGAUGAUGAUGAUGAUGAUGACGAUGAUGAUGAUGUUGAUGAGGACGCGGAAGAGGAGGAGGAGGAGGUUGCACCACCACGCUCGAAAAGGCGGUCGAAGCUUGUCCAUGACCCUGCGACUGAACGUGGCAAGGGGGUUGCGACUGUCACACAGUCGACCAAGCGCCCUCGGACCACCUCUCCGGCGCCGACUGAAAAGGCGUCGAAGCAGCCCAGGGCGGCCCCGUCAAAGCCGACCAAGCUCCUGCCGAAGAUGAAGGUGUCCAUCCCCACCAUAUCAGGGUAA
Molecule: ribosomal RNA, 594 nt
Filed under: Triticum aestivum (bread wheat)
Lineage: Eukaryota; Viridiplantae; Streptophyta; Magnoliopsida; Poales; Poaceae
Description: partial small subunit ribosomal RNA
Source: RNAcentral